This 134-nucleotide ribosomal RNA is filed under the name uncultured eukaryote. Its description in RNAcentral is "partial small subunit ribosomal RNA". It matches the Rfam family "Eukaryotic small subunit ribosomal RNA", at positions 1651 to 1782 of the family's 1831-position model. The record is from RNAcentral.
CCCUGCCAUUUGUACACACCGCCCGUCGCUAGUACCGAUUGAAUGGCUUAGUGAGACCUCCGGAUUUGCGGUCUUUUGAUGGCAACAUCAUUAGGCUGCGGAGAAGCUGGUCAAACUUGGUCAUUUAGAGGAAC